CAAGAAGCAUGGGCGCUACUGGAUUGGCAACAGCGUCAUCGACAGGUCGACUACUCCCACCCUCUCCCAGAUCCGAGCAUCGACCACGAGCGUGAGCAACCGCCCGCCCAUACGCCCACGGCCGGAGCCGGCACAGCACCGGGUCGACGCACUCCAGGUUGUUCAUCAUUUUUCAAUAGUUCUACUUCGCGUUGCUUUUCUUACCUUUGCAUUACUCUAACAUUUGAUUUUCAAUGUUGUAGGCUGAGCUCGAAGCAUCAAGGGCCGAGCAGCAAAGGAUGGCUGAGC
This 288-nucleotide long non-coding RNA is filed under the name Sorghum bicolor (sorghum). RNAcentral's name for it is "long non-coding RNA (SBIC_LNC005352)". Lineage: Eukaryota; Viridiplantae; Streptophyta; Magnoliopsida; Poales; Poaceae. The record is from RNAcentral.